AUGACGAGCGGCGGACGGGUGAGUAAUGCCUGGGAAUAUGCCUUGAUGUGGGGGAUAACCAUUGGAAACGAUGGCUAAUACCGCAUAAUGCCUACGGGCCAAAGAGGGGGAUCUUCGGACCUCUCGCGUCAAGAUUAGCCCAGGUGGGAUUAGCUAGUUGGUGAGGUAAUGGCUCACCAAGGCGACGAUCCCUAGCUGGUCUGAGAGGAUGAUCAGCCACACUGGAACUGAGACACGGUCCAGACUCCUACGGGAGGCAGCAGUGGGGAAUAUUGCACAAUGGGCGCAAGCCUGAUGCAGCCAUGCCGCGUGUGUGAAGAAGGCCUUCGGGUUGUAAAGCACUUUCAGUCGUGAGGAAGGUAGUUGCGUUAAUAGCGUAAUUAUUUGACGUUAGCGACAGAAGAAGCACCGGCUAACUCCGUGCCAGCAGCCGCGGUAAUACGGAGGGUGCGAGCGUUAAUCGGAAUUACUGGGCGUAAAGCGCAUGCAGGUGGUUUGUUAAGUCAGAUGUGAAAGCCCGGGGCUCAACCUCGGAAUUGCAUUUGAAACUGGCAGACUAGAGUACUGUAGAGGGGGGUAGAAUUUCAGGUGUAGCGGUGAAAUGCGUAGAGAUCUGAAGGAAUACCGGUGGCGAAGGCGGCCCCCUGGACAGAUACUGACACUCAGAUGCGAAAGCGUGGGGAGCAAACAGGAUUAGAUACCCUGGUAGUCCACGCCGUAAACGAUGUCUACUUGGAGGUUGUGGCCUUGAGCCGUGGCUUUCGGAGCUAACGCGUUAAGUAGACCGCCUGGGGAGUACGGUCGCAAGAUUAAAACUCAAAUGAAUUGACGGGGGCCCGCACAAGCGGUGGAGCAUGUGGUUUAAUUCGAUGCAACGCGAAGAACCUUACCUACUCUUGACAUCCAGAGAAGCCAGCGGAGACGCAGGUGUGCCUUCGGGAACUCUGAGACAGGUGCUGCAUGGCUGUCGUCAGCUCGUGUUGUGAAAUGUUGGGUUAAGUCCCGCAACGAGCGCAACCCUUAUCCUUGUUUGCCAGCGAGUAAUGUCGGGAACUCCAGGGAGACUGCCGGUGAUAAACCGGAGGAAGGUGGGGACGACGUCAAGUCAUCAUGGCCCUUACGAGUAGGGCUACACACGUGCUACAAUGGCGCAUACAGAGGGCUGCCAACCAGCGAUGGUGAGCGAAUCCCAAAAAGUGCGUCGUAGUCCGGAUUGGAGUCUGCAACUCGACUCCAUGAAGUCGGAAUCGCUAGUAAUCGUGGAUCAGAAUGCCACGGUGAAUACGUUCCCGGGCCUUGUACACACCGCCCGUCACACCAUGGGAGUGGGCUGCAAAAGAAGUGGGUAGUUUAACCUUUCGAGGAG
This 1366-nucleotide ribosomal RNA is filed under the name Vibrio sp. HGLP-26. Its description in RNAcentral is "bacterial SSU rRNA". It matches the Rfam family "Bacterial small subunit ribosomal RNA", at positions 88 to 1448 of the family's 1533-position model. Lineage: Bacteria; Pseudomonadati; Pseudomonadota; Gammaproteobacteria; Vibrionales; Vibrionaceae. The record is from RNAcentral.